UACGUAGGGGGCGAGCGUUGUCCGGAUUUAUUGGGCGUAAAGGGCGUGUAGGCGGUUGCUCACGUCAGGAGUGAAACUCCGCAGCUCAACUGCGGACCUGCUUCUGAUACGGGGCGACUUGAGUGCUCUAGAGGGCAGUGGAAUUCCCGGUGUAGCAGUGAAAUGCGUAGAGAUCGGGAGGAACACCAGUGGCGAAGGCGACUGUCUGGGGAGCAACUGACGCUGAGGCGCGAAAGCUGGGGGAGCAAACGGG
This 253-nucleotide ribosomal RNA is filed under the name uncultured bacterium. Its description in RNAcentral is "partial 16S ribosomal RNA". It matches the Rfam family "Bacterial small subunit ribosomal RNA", at positions 524 to 776 of the family's 1533-position model. The record is from RNAcentral.